This is an RNA transcript of Quercus robur (English oak), 2375 nucleotides long. It is a transcript of the gene named protein PIN-LIKES 2-like, with no coding region annotated. The transcript has 3 exons. The record is from RefSeq and is a predicted model, not a curated record. NCBI's taxonomy places the organism in Eukaryota, Viridiplantae, Streptophyta, Magnoliopsida, Fagales, Fagaceae.
AACUUUCAAAUUAUUCACUUCACUUUCAAACUGUUCUAGAUUUCCCAAAUUUGACAAAUCUGUAAGUUCCUCUUUUUCCUCCGGAAGAACCUACUUACUAGGAUUGUCAGCUUUCUGCUAAUUGUCAUAUUUCUAGUUCUGGAAAACCCAUGUUGUCUUGUCCCAUGUCUCAAUGAUAUUAUAGGAACGUUUAAUUAGUUUCAUGACUAUUGGGUUGGGAUGGGAUUGUUGGGCUUAGGCUGGCUUUCAGAUUUCCUGGCUAACAACAUUGUUUUUCCAUAUAGUUCUGAGAGAAAUUCUAUGUAGAACUUGGUGACUGACAGAUAUUGAUAUCCUCUUCAACUCUACCAUGUUUUUAGUUUUCUGUAUAUUUCAUAAAAGUCUUAUGACUUCCAUACUUGUUAAGGGAUCUGAAUUUCAAUUCUUAGAUUUUCUAGAUUCAAAGGUAGCGUGUGAAACUUUUUAGGAGACUCCUAGAAUUAUUCUAAUUUCUUAAAAAGCAUAAAGAAUGGAGUUCUUCCUUGCUUCAUUACAUGAAACAGUGAAAUCAGAAGCUGAAAUUGUUCUAACGUCAAUAGUACCUUUAUUGAAACUCCUCUCUAUAACUGUCAUUGGUUUAGUUCUUGCUCACAAGAAAAUCCAAACUAUCCCAAAAGAGACUUUCAAGAUACUAAGUGAACUUGUUUUUGCUCUAUUUUUGCCCUGCCUGAUCUUCACCCACCUUGGUCCAUGCAUUAGUCUAAAAAAUUUCAUUCAUUGGUGGUUCAUCCCUGUAAAUGUUGUUCUCAGUACUGCAAUUGGUUGUGUGUUGGGGUUAUUGGUGGCUAUAAUUUGCAGGCCACCACCUGAAUACUUUCGAUUCACCAUCAUCAUGACUGCAUUUGGAAACACGGGGAAUAUCCCUCUUGCAAUUGUUUCAUCAGUUUGCCACAGUACUGAUAACCCAUUUGGCGAGGAAUGUUAUGCAGCUGGUGUGGCAUAUGUAUCCUUUUCUCAAUGGAUUUCUGUUAUUCUUGUAUACACUCUUGUUUAUCAUAUGAUGGAGCCCCCAUUGGAGUCUUAUGAGAUUGUUGAAGUUGAAGAAGGGGCCGCUGAGAUUGAGGAAGUACCUGCUGAUGAUCUCAGUAGGCCACUUCUUGUUGAAGCUGAAUGGCCAGGAAUUGAAGAUAAGGAAACAGAACAUUGCAAGACACCCUUUAUAGCAAGGCUUUUCAAUAGCAUCUCUGGCAUCUCACAAUCAACUAUUCAGGAUCUUGAUUCAGUGGAGGAAAGUCCAAGUAGUCCCAAGUCUAUUACGUGUUUGGCUGAGCCUAGGAUGGUUAGAAAAAUCAGAAUUGUAGCUGAGAAAACUCCAAUUCAUCACAUUCUUCAGCCACCAACAAUUGCUUCUCUGUUAGCUAUUAUUAUAGGACUUGUCCCUCAGCUCAAAUCUUUUGUUUUUAAUGAUGAUUCUAUUGUCUCUUUCAUCACAGACAGCUUAGAUUUUAUGGCUGAGGCAAUGGUGCCUUCAACUAUGCUUAUUCUGGGUGGAAUUCUAGCUGAGGGUCCCAAUGAAUCUAAUUUAGGGAUCCGAACUACAAUUGGAAUCAUUGUAGCAAGGCUUUUAGUACUUCCUUUGUUUGGAAUUGGGGUCAUCAUGUUGGCUGAUAAGUUAAAUUUUUUGGUCUAUGGGGAUCAAAUGUACCGGUUUGUGCUGUUGCUGCAAUACACAACGCCAAGUGCCAUUUUGUUGGGGGCAAUUGCAAGCUUGAGGGGUUAUGCAGUGAAGGAGGCAUCAGCACUCCUCUUCUGGCAGCAUGUGUUUGCUCUAUUCUCCCUUUCGUUGUAUAUAAUUCUGUACUUUAAUGUGCUGCUUUCUUAUGUCUAAGGUAUUGAUGUUAGAAGACUUCUUCCAUAAGAAGCAGACCAUGAAAGGAGGGAUGGCAUCAGGUUUAGACUUCAUCUUGAUGCCAAACUCAGGAUUUAAUGUCAAAAUCAAAGUUUGAGAGGGAAUUUGCAGCUUGAAAGUGGAUGGAUUAAUUGCAUUUUGUAUGUUAAUAGCAAUUUCCUAUUCUGAUUUGCAAGGACAUUCUCACAAAUUUAGAGGCUACUACGUCCCUCUUGGCAGAUAUGUACUGAGUAACCUACUUACAAUGAACAUAAAGCAUAAUAUUAAAUUUGUAUCAACAAAAAUGGUGUCCUCACACACUUUAUAUAUAAAAGAAACUGAGGAAACAUUUAUUUUUUAUAGUUAUAUUUUUUUCAGCUUCUUUGUAACAGAGAGACAGAACUAAUUAAACAUGCAAAAGGUUAAAUUUUAUUUGAAUAUUCAUGUUUUAUCAGUAAUUUUGUUGUGUCUAUUGCUAUGAAACAAAUUGGAGAGCUUGGAAAGGGUA